UUGUAAGCACUGCUAAGCAAUAAUACUUGUUAUAACAAUUCAUACUUCAUGAUGUUAUGACAAUUAUAUAAACAUGUAUGAACCUAUAUUAUGCAACUUUCAGAAAGACAGGUAUGUAAUGCUUCAAAAAGAAAUAGUCUGACACAGAUCUACCUAUCUAUCUAUCCAUCUAUCUGUAUAUCUAUCAAUCAGUAUGUAUGAUUAAAAUGCUUCUAAUAUACACUACUGUGAUUUUAGCAAUGGUUUCACAUGGUAUCUUUAAAAUAAAUGCAUUUACUCACCAAAGAAUACUCUGGUUUUGUGUAUUUUACACUUACAUUUUUACUUCUGUUUAUGAAGCUUCUAAGAGCAGCCCUGAGCUCUGCAUGUAAAAUCACCCACAAAAAUGGGCAAUAAACCAGUGACUGUGGCACAUUUAUUAUUGUCAAACUGGUCUGAGACACUAUAUUGCAGAAAAGAGAACGAAGACAAUAAUUUAUAAAGAAGUAGGAGAAGAACAGAUGUGUGUUAAGAAGCCAUUUUAGGGCCCCCAAAAUGUAGCAUUCAGCUUCAGUCAAACCUGAUUGUGUGGGUUUAAGAUAAAGCUGUAAAGAUUCUAUAAUAAAAAGAUAGCAGUUCUUUCACAAAAUAAAUAAAUGCAAUUCAAUGUCUUUAGAAAGAACUGUCUAUGAAUCCUAAGACAGUUCUGAAAAUAUUGAUUAAUGUACAAAUGUAGCAUACAAAUGACAGUUCCUUAAAAGUCCAGCAGAAGGCAGUAACCUGAGUGGUUAAAGGAAUAGUAGUUCAUAGUGAAAACACACCGUAAUGAUGGAUUUGCUUUUUACAAGCAUGCUGCUUUUUGUUUCACAAGAUGUUAAUUGAUGGAGUCGAGUGGAUUACUUGUGGAUUAUUGUGAUAUUUUUAUAAGAUGGGCUCUCAACCUGAUGCCACCCAUUCACUGCAGAGGAUCCAUUGCCUCUGAAUGCGACAGUCUGGGUUUCUCAGAACAAGGGAUAACACAGAUGCUCCCUCUGAACCAAGAGGAUUCUGGCCCAGGCUUUAUGUAAAGAACAUACAAUGAAUAUCACAGAGCACAAAAAAAAUAAAAAAUGUACAUUGAGUGUUUCACAUCUGCCUCUGAACAUUUAUACCUACAGUUACAGUAUUUACCUGAGUGUCGAGAAGAGAGGAAGGGCUGGUAGGAGCUGGUAUAGUCCUUGAGCAUCGAGUCCUUGAGCAUCUAAAUUUAAAACCUGCAGAUCUGGACUGAGCUGUAACAGGAAAGCCAGCUCGCUCCAGUCCCUGUUUACCGAAUCGGACUGAUCUGAGGCCUGCUGUGAAAGAACUUUCAUCCAACUCUGUAGCCGCUGUGACAAACCAGGGUCCUGGGCCUCAUACAGACAGUGACAAACAUUGACCUGCCUCUCAGGGCUGAGGGUGGAGCUCUGGAGUUGGGAGUGUAACAGAUGGAGGAGGAAAGGUGGAGUCGGGUCUGGAGAGGGCUGGCAACGGAGCAGAUGCAUCUUGGGCCCAUCACGGAAAAAUCCAUUUAGGAUGAGACGUGUUCUAGGAACCAGCAGGCCACAUACAAACCUGGAUAAGCGGAAAUAACUGGUCAGUUAUGAAAUGGAGUAAUUGUAAAUCCAAAUUUUACAACCUGAACUAACCUUUCCUUUCCAAUUUAUAUGAUAUUUCUAUUGAAGAUUUGCAUUCAAUACUCUGUAAGUGUG
This is a long non-coding RNA of Sinocyclocheilus grahami, 1709 nucleotides long. Lineage: Eukaryota; Metazoa; Chordata; Actinopteri; Cypriniformes; Cyprinidae. The record is from Ensembl.